CGCCUCUUGCUAAACAACAUGUAUAAGAGGUCCAGCCUGCCCAGUGACUAUAUGUUCAACGGCCGCGGUAUUCUGACCGUGCAAAGGUAGCGUAAUCACUUGUCUUUUAAAUAAAGACUAGUAUGAAUGGCACCACGAAGGUUCAACUGUCUCCUGCAUCCAAUCCAUUAAACUGUCCUCCCCGUGCAGAGACGGGGAUACGCCCAUAAGACGAGAAGACCCUAUGGAGCUUUAAACUUAAGGCAACUGCUAAAUAACCCUUCCCCACACGGAAUAACAUCCAACUAAGCAACAAUGACCCAAAGUUUUCGGUUGGGGCGACCACGGAGAAAAAAAAAUCCUCCUUGAUGUACGAGGCCUUACCCUCUUAGCCAAGAACGACGGUUCUAAGCAACAAAACAUUUGACCACUAUUGAUCCAGUCUUACUGAUCAACGAACCAAGUUACCCUAGGGAUAACAGCGCAAUCCAUUUCGAAAGUUCCUAUCGACAAAUGGGUUUACGACCUCGAUGUUGGAUCAGGGCAUCCCAGUGGUGCAGCCGCUACUAAAGGUUCGUUUGUUCAACGAUUAAAGCCCU
This 578-nucleotide ribosomal RNA is filed under the name Xenopus epitropicalis (Cameroon clawed frog). RNAcentral describes it as "partial 16S ribosomal RNA". It matches the Rfam family "Bacterial large subunit ribosomal RNA", at positions 1816 to 2597 of the family's 2925-position model. The record is from RNAcentral. Lineage: Eukaryota; Metazoa; Chordata; Amphibia; Anura; Pipidae.